Long non-coding RNA from Coffea arabica (coffee), 342 nucleotides. RefSeq lists it as uncharacterized. The record is from RefSeq and is a predicted model, not a curated record. NCBI's taxonomy places the organism in Eukaryota, Viridiplantae, Streptophyta, Magnoliopsida, Gentianales, Rubiaceae.
UCCAAAGUUGUCUGGGCUGGGUCCCUCAGCCCAAUAGUUCGCUAGGGCGGUGCUCAGAUCAACACAAAUAAAAGAAGAAAACCCGUAUGCCGUGUAACUGGCUCGCUGACUAGCAGAAGGCUUUAUUCCUUUUCUUUUCUCGAAGAAUGGGAUAGCACAGCACUCCCUUCAACGGCUGCCCUCGGCAACCCACUGGUGACGGAUGGGAGCACACGGCUGCGGAAAUACAAAAAAAAAUCAUUGGAACUGCCAAGACUCUUUCCAACUCAGCUAGGUGGCUGGCGAAGGAAAUCGAAGACUGAGCAAAUAAUGGGUAUGGCUCGAGAGACCAAAUUGAGAAAG